Molecule: ribosomal RNA, 257 nt
Filed under: uncultured bacterium
Lineage: Bacteria
Description: partial 16S ribosomal RNA
Rfam family: Bacterial small subunit ribosomal RNA
Source: RNAcentral
CGGGACGGGUGAGUAACACGUAGAGAACCUACCUUACACAGGGGGACAACGGCUGGAAACGGCUGCUAAUACCGCAUAAGCACCCAGUUUCGCAUGAAACAGAGUGAAAAGAGUAAAUCGGUGUAAGAUGGCUCUGCGUCUGAUUAGCUAGUUGGUGGGGUAAAGGCUCACCAAGGCGACGAUCAGUAGCCGGCCUGAGAGGGCGACCGGCCACAUUGGGACUGAGACACGGCCCAGACUCCUACGGGAGGCAGCAG